Molecule: long non-coding RNA, 667 nt
Organism: Bacillus rossius redtenbacheri
Lineage: Eukaryota; Metazoa; Arthropoda; Insecta; Phasmatodea; Bacillidae
Exons: 2
Source: RefSeq, a predicted model, not a curated record
GUACGCGGAUGUAAAGAAAACAAGCUAGAUUUAUAGACUGUCGCUACCAAGUAAUGAGCUUGGCAAUGAUAACAAUUACGUGGACAUGUGACAACAAUAUAAAAAUGAACAUACUUAAAAGAAUAUCAAGCUGCGUUACAGCAGAAUAAGAGAGAAAAAUACAUUUUCUAAUUGUUUGCAAGCCUAUGAUGGAAGCUCAUACUUCACUUAGCAGACCUGAAGAAAAUGCUGAUAGCGCUUCAUCUCUUUCAUCCAGCAGACUUCCUCGUCCGCAGGGAAGUUACGGCACAACAGCGACGUCGAUGCCAAUUACUGUCAAGAUACCAGUAAAAAAGUCAGUAUUAAACAGUCGAGAUUCCAGUGAAAACCCGAACGAAUCCGACUGUGUACGCAAGGGAAAAAAUGAAAGAAACUUUAGAUCGUGGCGUUCACAGAUCCCAAAGCCCCUGGAAUCAUCUUCAGAGGACAUUCAGGUCAACAAUGACAAUAAGAAAACUGUGUUAAGGUCGGUGCUGGAUAUUAUAGAUGCUCGUGUAUUCCACAGGUAUAAACAAAUGCCUAUUCUCAGAUGCUGGGUUGUAACUUUUGUGACAUUAGUAGUAAUAGUUUCUAUUGUUUGUUGCUGCUUACUGUUUAUCAGAGAAAAAUAAAAAUAAAAAAAAAUUCG